GUGGGGAAUAUUGGACAAUGGGCGAAAGCCUGAUCCAGCCAUGCCGCGUGUGUGAAGAAGGUCUUCGGAUUGUAAAGCACUUUAAGUUGGGAGGAAGGGCAGUAAGUUAAUACCUUGCUGUUUUGACGUUACCGACAGAAUAAGCACCGGCUAACUUCGUGCCAGCAGCCGCGGUAAUACGAAGGGUGCAAGCGUUAAUCGGAAUUACUGUGCGUAAAGCGCGCGUAGGUGGUUUUGUAAGUUGGAGGUGAAAUCCCCGGGCUCAACCUGGGAACUGCAUCCAAAACUGCAUGACUAGAGUACGGUAGAGGGUAGUGGAAUUUCCUGUGUAGCGGUGAAAUGCGUAGAUAUAGGAAGGAACACCAGUGGCGAAGGCGACUACCUGGACUGAUACUGACACUGAGGUGCGAAAGCGUGGGGAGCAAACAGGAUUAGAAACCCUGGUAGUCC
This 450-nucleotide ribosomal RNA is filed under the name uncultured bacterium. Its description in RNAcentral is "partial 16S ribosomal RNA". It matches the Rfam family "Bacterial small subunit ribosomal RNA", at positions 354 to 796 of the family's 1533-position model. The record is from RNAcentral.